Cercocebus atys (sooty mangabey) is the source of this 99-nucleotide ribosomal RNA. Lineage: Eukaryota; Metazoa; Chordata; Mammalia; Primates; Cercopithecidae. The record is from Ensembl.
GUCUAUGGCCAUAUCACUCUGACCUGUGAAGCUAAGCAGGGUCAGGCCAAGUCAGUACUUAAAUGAGAGACUACCUGGCAAUACCACGGGUAGUAGACU